This 743-nucleotide ribosomal RNA is filed under the name uncultured Neocallimastigales. RNAcentral describes it as "partial large subunit ribosomal RNA". It matches the Rfam family "Eukaryotic large subunit ribosomal RNA", at positions 22 to 644 of the family's 3401-position model. The record is from RNAcentral. Lineage: Eukaryota; Fungi; Neocallimastigomycota; Neocallimastigomycetes; Neocallimastigales.
CAUAGCGACUAUCGUGCAUAUCAAUAAGCGGAGGAAAAGAAACUAACAAGGAUUCCCUUAGUAACGGCGAGUGAAGCGGGAAGAGUUCAAAUUUGAAAUCUCCAAGGUUCUACCUUGACGAAUUGUAGUUUAUAGAAGUGUUUUCUGUUAGUGGAGUGGCAAAAGUUCUUUGGAAUAGGACAUCAUAGAGGGUGAGAAUCCCGUAUUUGGUCAUUCCUCCUAGCGUUGUGAUACUCUUUCAACGAGUCGGAUUGUUUGGGAAUGCAGUCCAAAAUGGGUGGUAAAUUUCAUCUAAAGCUAAAUAUUGGCGAGAGACCGAUAGCGAACAAGUACCGUGAGGGAAAGAUGAAAAGAACUUUGAAAAGAGAGUUAAACAGUACGUGAAAUUGUCAAAAGGGAAGCGUUUGACACCAGUGUUGUAUUGACCUUAAAUAGGCUUACUUCACGGCUGCUCUUUCUUGUAAACUUUCUUAAUGCACUUUUCGGUUAACAAGUCAACAUCAGUUUCUUUUGUUGUAAAAGGGUCAUUGGAAGGUGGCUUUCUUUUCGGAGAAAGUGUUUAUAGCCUUUGAUCUCUGCAACCGGAGAGACUGAGGUCUGCAGCGUAGACUCUUCGGGGUUAAAUACAUUUGUGCUAAGGCUAUAGCUUUUUAUAGACAACUUGUUGACUAUAUUUAGUCUUGUGGCUUACUCGCUUAUGCUAUUUUACCUACGCUUAGGAUGUUGAUAGUCACAGCGUGUAC